Molecule: ribosomal RNA, 221 nt
Filed under: uncultured bacterium
Lineage: Bacteria
Description: partial 16S ribosomal RNA
Rfam family: Bacterial small subunit ribosomal RNA
Source: RNAcentral
UACAGAGGGUGCGAGCGUUGUCCGGAAUCACUGGGCGUAAAGGGCGCGUAGGUGGCGUCGCAAGUCGAUGGUGAAAGCUCGUCGCUCAACGACGAGUCGGCCAUUGAUACUGCGAGGCUGGAGCACUGUAGAGGCAGAUGGAAUUCCGGGUGUAGCGGUGGAAUGCGUAGAGAUCCGGAAGAACACCAGUGGCGAAGGCGGCCUGGCUGGGCCGUGGGAUC